GUGAAUCAUCGAAUUUUUGAACGCAUAUUGCACUCUCUGGUAUUCCGGAGAGUAUGCCUGUUUGAGGGUAAUUAAAAAGAAUCUUUAACCAAUUGUUUGGUCAAAGGAAAGGAGUUGUCCGCGUUUAGAGCGGUAGCUUGAAAGAAAUGGUAAAGUCACAUGGUAGUCGAGACGCGUAAUAAUAUUAUUUCGCGAAAACUUCAGAAUGUGACUAUCAAGGUUCGACGCAUA
RNAcentral lists this unclassified non-coding RNA (231 nucleotides) under Ambisporaceae sp. Its description in RNAcentral is "partial contains 5.8S ribosomal RNA and internal transcribed spacer 2". The stretch from base 1 to 71 matches the Rfam family "5.8S ribosomal RNA", at positions 84 to 154 of the family's 154-position model. The record is from RNAcentral. Lineage: Eukaryota; Fungi; Glomeromycota; Glomeromycetes; Archaeosporales; Ambisporaceae.